Molecule: ribosomal RNA, 253 nt
Filed under: uncultured bacterium
Lineage: Bacteria
Description: partial 16S ribosomal RNA
Rfam family: Bacterial small subunit ribosomal RNA
Source: RNAcentral
GACGGAGGCUGCAAGUGUUCUCCGGAAUCACUGGGCGUAAAGCGUCUGUAGGUGGUUUCCAAAGUCCACUGUUAAAGAUUGAAGCUUAACUUCAAAAAUGCCGUGGAAACUUUGAAACUUGAGUAUGAUAGGGGUAGAGGGAAUUUCCAGUGGAGCGGUGAAAUGCGUAGAUAUUGGAAAGACCACCAAUGGCGAAGGCACUCUACUGGGCCAUUACUGACACUGAGAGACGAAAGCUAGGGGAGCAAAUGGG